Non-coding RNA from Ictidomys tridecemlineatus (thirteen-lined ground squirrel), 69 nucleotides. The record is from Rfam. NCBI's taxonomy places the organism in Eukaryota, Metazoa, Chordata, Mammalia, Rodentia, Sciuridae.
GGGUUUGUGGCUCAGGGGUAGAGUGCUUGCCUCGCACAUGCAAGACCCUGGGUUCGAUUCUCAGCACCG